ACGCAAUCGUUGAAACUAUUUUUGCGUUCAAAAAUAAUGUAGCCAUUUUCAAUUAGAAUUUGGGUUUACAGGAGACGUUGAAUAUGGCGAUUCUACAAGAGACUUGAAUAUGAAACCCAACCAUCGGGUGUGAGUCUUGCAGUGAGGGAGAACAGUGGCAGCUUCAUCAGUGCUCUGAGUAUGUGGCUCUACAGUGACACUGACUACACUCAGAAACUCAUUGUUCCAGAGAAUGGAAUAAAUCUGAAGACCCGAAUCUUUGUGGGGGUGAAAGCCACCAAUCAAACAGAGAGGUUCCACAUUCUGCUUGACCGAUGCUACACAGCAACAAGUCCCAUUCCCAACAACAGCACCUACUAUGACCUCUUUGUUGGGUGUACAUACACAUGAUGGACAAACCAGGGUCGAGUUGAAUGGAGCGUCUCAGCAUGCACACCUUCCGUUUCAUUGAACACAAGAACAUGACCGUCACCACAUUCUACCUGCACUGUCACCCGACUCUGUGAGGUGUCCUCCUGUUCGUCCUUACUGCCUUCUCCUCCCAGUCCCAGAGAAGCCCAAUGGGCCAUAUGGCCGUCACAACUUCGGUGCUGGCUGUGAUCUGUCUCUCCGUGGCCCUGUUCAUUGGUCUCCUGAGAGGGGGGAGGGCUGGGAGCCAGACAUGAGGUUGAGGUCUUUUGAGACGGUGAAGACGGACCGUCAGCUGCAGUGACACGCUGGCCCAGCUCUGUACCUCCCUCUGCUUCUCCAGCACCAUGGAGUUCAUGAGCAACCAGCCCUGUCUCAAUGACCACUUCUGUCAUCACCUGGGAACCCUCACAAAGCCCACUAGUGAAGAGAACCAUAAUUCUAUGAGAGGUCCUCAGAUACAGUAGGACAUACAUUCAAUUACCCUCAAUGAAAAUUAUACAGGUAAUGAAACAAGACAUUUGGCCAAAUGUGUGUGUGUGUGUGUAUAUGUAUUGUCUACCAAAAAGAUCCCAUUCCAGAAUGUUACCAACAGUUUGAAAAUAAUGAAAAUCAGUCACAGGUUCCCAUACCAGCAAUUUCCUGACCAUGCAUGGUAAAAUAAUAGUCCUGCUGUUUGUGUGUUGGUCCACCUGGUGGGGCUGCUGAUGCAGUGUGCUUAGUGCUUUAUGGCCAAAGUGAUCUGGCACACCAUGUACAAAGUCACAUGUAGUGAGGGCCAUUACUCAGGCAGUUAUGUUUGAAGAGAUGGGUACAGAGUAGACUGUACACCACCCCCACACACAGACAGACCAUGGAGCUACUAAAACAUUUCACAUCUUCUGGACUAACUAUCAAUGAUCAAAACACUGAAUACUCAUCAUUGCACAUUCUUUAAUUGUGGUUAAUAAUGUUAGGAUGUACAUUCGUCAUGGAAAAUUCUGUCAUAACAAAUAUAAAUAAUGGAGUGAGUAAACUUGUUGUAAUUGAGGAUUAAACACCAAAAAUAAGUGUGUUUCGGCUGAUGAUAAUAAUCAUAAUAUUUGGCUUGUAUGAUUAUCAUUAAUAUAACAUAAAUGUAUUGAAGAGACAUAUGAUCAUCAACUUGUUCAGUAGAUUUUUACAAGUGCUUCUUCAUUCCUAUAUAUUCCAAUAUAAAAUGUAUUUGAUUAAUCUAGAUUACACAUCACAGUAUAUAAUAUAAAAAGCAACAAUGUUAUUUGAACUGUGGCAGGUUGAAGAUUUUCUCUCAGAGUCAUUCUCAUUUCAGCACAGUCUUUGCUGUGGUCAGCAUUCUCAGUGGCAGCACAUCCUCCACCCAUUCGUUUGGAGAGGUCAUCAUUCGUUCCCAUAGAGCAACCUCGUCAGCAUUCGAGUCCAUCCAAUUCACCACUGCCCCAUAACUUCUGCCUGUAUGAAGAGAUGGAGAGAAUUUAGGCUUAGCCAUUGUAAUCAAUUGAAUAAAAUGAACGUGUUUCUAUGGAGAAAUCUAGAAAAUGUCAUAGAAAAGUCCAUUAGUACCUGUGCCAGGCCCCAGUCUUAGACCCCCCAGGAAGUUACUAGCCAACUUGUCACGGUCCCACACGGUUAGCUCCACGCAAGCGUCUUUCAGGUCUUCCUGUCUGAAGCCGUCGUACACCAUGGUGUGGUUAAACACCGGCUCCACCGUCCUCCUCAGCACCCGUGUCUUCUGACGACUCUUUCUGCUCGUAUCUGGGAGCACGAAGCUACGGAGGAGGUAGUCUUACAAUAUUAUUACAUAUUCAACCUACAACUAUCCUGAGCAAAGCAAAUUUGAAAGGCUGGAAAUCAAGGCUAAGAAGGGAAUAUGUCUUUAUGAUAGGCCUCCACAUCUUCUGUUCUCCCCAGAAACUGUAGUUCUCCUUGAUCAUAUUUAGCCAUUCAUACAUUUCAAAUGUUGAUAUUAUUUAUGGCAUGUGUCGUACGUACCACUUGACAUAUGGGUCGAUGGUGGCCCCUCUGAUGAGGGGAAGGUUCUUGCAGUCUUUCACCCAAAUGUGAACCUCACCUUUGUUAGAGGGGGGGUCCUUGCCUAGGCCUAGGGAUCAGAAUCAAGCAUGAUUCAGUGAACGUGUACACUAGCUUUCUAUUGCAUAAAAGUCCUAUUUUAGGUAACUAGUUAACGAAAGCAACACAUUUUCUUGAUAAAAUAUACAUUUUCUAUAUAAUAAAUUGCUUAUAGAGACUGGUGACAGUUAAGACAUGUGAGGCAUACAGACUCUUACUGUGGGAGACCUGAGGCAGGAAGCGUAUGGCCAGUUUCAUCUCCCCUCUGUCAUCUGAGGGCUGCAGACUGGACGUGGGCUGAGGAGACCAGGGGAAGAAAGUCAGCACAGAGAGUACCCCAAUUUACGAUAUAGAACCACCACCUCACUGGACACUCUCCAAACCAUACUAACACCUCCACAACCUACUGUGUAUAGCAGCAUACACAUGUCAUGUCAAACAAUACUAACACGCACAGCCAUUGAAAUAAAUAACAAAAGCAGAGAUAUGGAUUUCAGUUUUGUAUUAUUGUUUUAGUACAGUGCUGAAUGACUCCAGUACACAGACAAAGCAGGUGUGUUGUUGUCUUACCCUGGAUUUCAGAGCUAAGUAGUUCAUCUGGGUGUGGUUAAAGUCCCAUUUGGACAGGUCCACAUCCACUUCGCCCAGAAAACUGUUCCUGCCAAAGGUGUCAUGGUGCCAGACGGAGAGAAUGAGGGUCUGAGUUCGGAGGUACUCCAUACGAAGCCGAUACUGAUGAAGGAACAGGAGAGAGAGGUUUUGCUAAAAGCACUUUAUGUCAGACCUUAUGUAUGUGUAGAUACAUUACUCUAUUUAAUGUAAAUCAUAUAGAGUUUUUAGAAAAUCUCUUACUCUGAGGAGCUCGUUGAAAAUGGGGUUGACAGUCUUCUUCUUCACAGACGUUUUCCUCUUCCCUAGAUUGGCUUUGUCAGGCACCAGGUAACUUUUAACAUACCUACGACAAGAAACACAAGAAUCAUACACACAAAGUACCAUGUAUUUCAGCAGUGUCCAAUCAAAUAUCGAGUAGUAAAUAAGAAAGCAAGGCUAUAUAUUCCCAACAUUUAGGGACCAUAAGGAAUCCAAUCAGGGGCCUAGUGUAAUAGUGUACUCACGGGUCAGAGCGGCCCCUCUUGGGGUCGACGGCCGCCAGAUCUUGGCACUGAGCCACAAAGAUGUGGAACUCCCUGAGCUUCUGGACGUAGUUGAUGGAAAACUGGAUGCUCCCCUGCACCUCCACACCUCCAUAGUCGCCACUGUACAUUGUCAUCACACUGCCACUCAGCUAACACACACACAGAGGUAAAAACGUUUAAACAGUUCACAUAAAACCAUAGCCAUGCAGGCAGUUCUCAUUAAAGUCAGGAUGUGAAAAACUAUCAAAUUUGUGGUUAACGGGACAAUUAAGAGAUUUAAUAAGACUGUUAAUAUUGUAUAAUCAUGAUAGUUGCCAAUAGAAAAUGGUUAGGCAGAAAAUGUGCAUGCUUUGAAUGUGAACAGUGGUUGUGUCUUAGCAGGGCAUGCGUGAAGUGAACAUACAGAGGACACAGAUGCCAUGCCAGAGGAGCUGCUGAGUUUAGUCAUAGAUCUGCCCGUGUUCUGCCUGCCACCAUGGUAACUGUCCUCAGAGGCGGAGUCAGUGUCUCUGCCAUCGCUCUAGAACACAGACAGCAGAGCUAGAAUGCCCAGUGCACAUACAGACAUACAGUGUUCUUUGACUUAAAGCGCUCACAUGGAAUAAAGCUGCAGUGACUUUACCUCAUGUUGUAGGAACGAGGGAACAGACUUGCUCAUCUUCUUCAAAUGCUCAGUGUCAGAGUAGAGGGAUGAGGAGGCAGAGGGGAGUGUAGAUGCUGAGGGAGGACAUAAAGAGAGGUAUGAGAGGUUAAUUGUUCGGCUUGGUACUAAAACCAUCAGAAACUUUUACAGAUGCACAGCCUGGAAGGCAACUGCACCGCCCACAACCGCAGGACUCUCCAGAGGGUGGUGCGGUCUGCCCAACGCAUCACCGGAGGCCAGGCCAAAAAGAUCAUCAAGGACAACAACCACCUGAGCCACUGCCUGUUCACCCCGCUAUCAUCCAGGAGGCGAGAAUAAGGGAUGCUCGAUUAAAAGGAUUGUGCCUUGGCUGGAAUGAGAAGAGAAGAACAUGAUUAGGAAAUGCAAUUGGUUUAUGAAUCUAUAUUUCAUAAUACUGUCAUACUGUGAUAUGGUGAUUGGAAAAUCAGAAGUAAAUCUGAACAAGAUUAAAAUGCUUUGUUUGUUUAUUCUGUUCAUGCUUCACAUAUAUUCUCUGCAAAUGAAAUCUCACAUACCCUUCCCGGGGAGCGCACCAC
Molecule: RNA transcript, 4811 nt
Organism: Oncorhynchus kisutch (coho salmon)
Lineage: Eukaryota; Metazoa; Chordata; Actinopteri; Salmoniformes; Salmonidae
Gene name: zona pellucida-like domain-containing protein 1
Exons: 9
Source: RefSeq, a predicted model, not a curated record